This 577-nucleotide ribosomal RNA is filed under the name Ctenophora environmental sample. RNAcentral's name for it is "partial Bacterial large subunit ribosomal RNA". It matches the Rfam family "Bacterial large subunit ribosomal RNA", at positions 1224 to 1698 of the family's 2925-position model. The record is from RNAcentral. Lineage: Eukaryota; Metazoa; Ctenophora.
UUGAGUAGGGGAGCGUCGUGUCAGUGGUGAAGCUGCCGGGUGACUGUGUGGUGGAGUUGAUGCGAGUGAGAAUGCAGGCAUGAGUAGCGAUAAGGCAAGUGAGAACCUUGCCCGCCGAAAGACCAAGGGUUCCUGGGCCAGGCCAGUCCGCCCAGGGUGAGUCGGGACCUAAGGCGAGGCCGACAGGCGUAGUCGAUGGACAACGGGUUGAUAUUCCCGUACCCGUGUGUGCGCGCCCGUGAUGAAUCCAUUCUGCUAACCACCCAAAUGGUGGCCCAUCAAUCCCUUUCGAGGGUGCGAGAGCCGCCGGCUGCGUGGGACCCGGGUGGGUAGUAGUCAAGCGAUGGGGUGACGCAGGAAGGUAGCCGUACCAGUCAGUGGUAAUACUGGGGCAAACCCGUAGGACGACAUCUAGGUAAAUCCGGAUGUCACAUAAGUCCGAGAGGUGAUGCAUAACCGGAUGAGGUGAAUUCGGUGAUCCUCAGCUGCCGAGAAAAGCCUCUAGCGAGCACACACACGGCCCGUACCCCAAACCAACACAGGUGGUCAGGUAGAGAAUACCAAGGCGACGAGCGAA